Molecule: ribosomal RNA, 633 nt
Filed under: Agarivorans sp.
Lineage: Bacteria; Pseudomonadati; Pseudomonadota; Gammaproteobacteria; Alteromonadales; Alteromonadaceae
Description: bacterial SSU rRNA
Rfam family: Bacterial small subunit ribosomal RNA
Source: RNAcentral
GGCGAAAGCGUGAUGCAGCCAUGCCGCGUGUGUGAAGAAGGCCUUCGGGUUGUAAAGCACUUUCAGUCGUGAGGAAGGGGUAGUAAUUAAUACUUACUACCUUUGACGUUAGCGACAGAAGAAGGACCGGCUAACUCCGUGCCAGCAGCCGCGGUAAUACGGAGGGUCCGAGCGUUAAUCGGAAUUACUGGGCGUAAAGCGUACGCAGGCGGCUUGUUAAGCCAGAUGUGAAAUCCCCGGGCUCAACCUGGGAAUGGCAUUUGGAACUGGCAAGCUAGAGUUUUGUAGAGGGUGGUAGAAUUUCAGGUGUAGCGGUGAAAUGCGUAGAGAUCUGAAGGAAUACCAGUGGCGAAGGCGGCCACCUGGACAAAAACUGACGCUCAUGUACGAAAGCGUGGGGAGCAAACAGGAUUAGAUACCCUGGUAGUCCACGCCGUAAACGAUGUCUACUAGUUGUCUGUGAGUUUAACUCGUGGGUAACGCAGCUAACGCAUUAAGUAGACCGCCUGGGGAGUACGGCCGCAAGGUUAAAACUCAAAUGAAUUGACGGGGGCCCGCACAAGCGGUGGAGCAUGUGGUUUAAUUCGAUGCAACGCGAAGAACCUUACCUGCCCUUGACAUACUGAGAACUUC